This 62-nucleotide transfer RNA is filed under the name Dialister micraerophilus. It matches the Rfam family "tRNA", at positions 6 to 65 of the family's 71-position model. From Rfam's summary of the family: Transfer RNA (tRNA) molecules are approximately 80 nucleotides in length. Lineage: Bacteria; Bacillati; Bacillota; Negativicutes; Veillonellales; Veillonellaceae. RNAcentral also lists the same sequence under 1 other name. The record is from RNAcentral.
AAUAGCUCAGUUGGUAGAGCAAUCGGCUGUUAACCGAUCGGUCGUAGGUUCGAGUCCUACUU